Molecule: ribosomal RNA, 450 nt
Filed under: uncultured bacterium
Lineage: Bacteria
Description: partial 16S ribosomal RNA
Rfam family: Bacterial small subunit ribosomal RNA
Source: RNAcentral
GUGGGGAAUUUUGGACAAUGGGCGAAAGCCUGAUCCAGCCAUGCCGCGUGCAGGAUGAAGGCCUUCGGGUUGUAAACUGCUUUUGUACGGAACGAAAAGACUCCUUCUAAUAAAGGGGGUCCAUGACGGUACCGUAAGAAUAAGCACCGGCUAACUACGUGCCAGCAGCCGCGGUAAUACUUAGGGUGCAAGCGUUAAUCGGAAUUACUGGGCGUAAAGCGUGCGCAGGCGGUUAUAUAAGACAGAUGUGAAAUCCCCGGGCUCAACCUGGGAACUGCAUUUGUGACUGUAUAGCUAGAGUACGGUAGAGGGGGAUGGAAUUCCGCGUGUAGCAGUGAAAUGCGUAGAUAUGCGGAGGAACACCGAUGGCGAAGGCAAUCCCCUGGACCUGUACUGACGCUCAUGCACGAAAGCGUGGGGAGCAAACAGGAUUAGAUACCCUUGUAGUCC